This 368-nucleotide ribosomal RNA is filed under the name uncultured bacterium. Its description in RNAcentral is "bacterial SSU rRNA". It matches the Rfam family "Bacterial small subunit ribosomal RNA", at positions 28 to 390 of the family's 1533-position model. The record is from RNAcentral.
GACGAACGCUGGCGGCGUGCCUAACACAUGCAAGUCUACGAGAAAAGGGUAGCAAUAUCCUGAGUAAAGUGGCGCACGGGUGAGUAACACGUAGGCAAUCUGCCUUUAGGACGGGAACAACCCCGAGAAAUCGAGGCUAAUACCCGGUAAUGCAGCGGCACCGCAUGGUGACAGUUGUUAAAGGCCCGCAAGGCGCCUAGAGAUGAGCCUGCGCCCCACUUAGGUAGUGGUGAGGUAACGGCCCACCAAGCCUACGAUGGGUAGCUGAUCUGAGAGGAUGAUCAGCCACACUGGAACUGAGACACGGUCCAGACUCCUACGGGAGGCAGCAGUGAGGAAUAUUGCGCAAUGGCCGAAAGGCUGACGCA